UACAGAGGCCUCGAGCGUUAGGCGGAAUCACUGGGCUUAAAGCGUGUGUAGGUGGAUGCCUAAGUACCUUGUGAAAUCCCACGGCUUAACCGUGGAACUGCUGGGUAUACUGGGUGUCUUGAGCCACUCAGGGGCUACCGGAACAAGCGGUGGAGCGGUGAAAUGCGUAGAUAUCGCUUGGAACGCCAAUGGUGAAAACAGGUAGCUGGGGGUGUGCUGACACUGAGACACGAAAGCCAGGGGAGCAAACGGG
RNAcentral lists this ribosomal RNA (253 nucleotides) under uncultured bacterium. RNAcentral describes it as "partial 16S ribosomal RNA". It matches the Rfam family "Bacterial small subunit ribosomal RNA", at positions 524 to 776 of the family's 1533-position model. The record is from RNAcentral.